This 312-nucleotide long non-coding RNA is filed under the name Phoenix dactylifera (date palm). Its description in RNAcentral is "long non-coding RNA (PDAC_LNC002697)". Lineage: Eukaryota; Viridiplantae; Streptophyta; Magnoliopsida; Arecales; Arecaceae. The record is from RNAcentral.
UUCGCCCUUGAGCAAUAACAAGCCAUCGACAAAGAGGUUGGUAAGCUCCUGAAGGCACAUCCAUGAAGUCGACUACCUAGGAUGGAUAGCCAAUAUGGUGCUCAUCAAAAAGGCCAAUAGGUGUUGAAGAGUCUGCAUAGAUUUCACCGAUCUUAUCAAGGCAUGCCUAAAGGAUAGCUUUUCACUCUCAAGGAUUGACCAACUUGUUGAUGCCACCUCAUGCCAUUAACUUUUUAGUUUUAUGGUUGCAUUCUCAGAUAUAAUCAGAUCAAGACGUACCUCGAGGAUAAGAAGAAAACAACAUUUAUCACC